RNAcentral lists this ribosomal RNA (325 nucleotides) under uncultured eukaryote. Its description in RNAcentral is "partial 18S ribosomal RNA". It matches the Rfam family "Eukaryotic small subunit ribosomal RNA", at positions 1470 to 1796 of the family's 1831-position model. The record is from RNAcentral.
CCCUUAGAUGUUCUGGGCCGCACGCGCGCUACACUGAUGCAUUCAACGAGCCUAUCCUUGACCGACAGGUCCUGGUAAUCUUUGAAUCUGCAUCGUGACGGGGAUAGAUUAUUGCAAUUAUUAAUCUUCAACGAGGAAUGCCUAGUAGGCGCAAGUCAUCAGCUUGCGUCGAUUACGUCCCUGCCCUUUGUACACACCGCCCGUCGCUCCUACCGAUUGGGUGUGCUGGUGAAAUGUUCGGAUCGGCCGUUUGUCGCGGUUUCCGCGUCAUGUGGCUGAGAAGUUCAUUAAACCCUCCCACCUAGAGGAAGGAGAAGUCGUAACA